GCAACUGCUGGCACAAAAUUAGUUAUUAAUUUAAAUAUUACUAAAUAUUAAUUUCUUAAAUUUUUAAUUUUAAUUACUAAUUAAUUUCAAUUUAAAUAUUAUUAAAAUAAUUAAAAAUUAAUACUAAAAUUUAUAUGUAAAAUAAAUUUAUAAUAAAUUUUUAAACUAUAAAUAUUUAU
RNAcentral lists this ribosomal RNA (179 nucleotides) under Ernolatia moorei. RNAcentral's name for it is "partial 12S ribosomal RNA". The record is from RNAcentral. Lineage: Eukaryota; Metazoa; Arthropoda; Insecta; Lepidoptera; Bombycidae.